UUCGCUGACGAGUGGCGGACGGGUGAGUAAUGUCUGGGAAACUGCCUGAUGGAGGGGGAUAACUACUGGAAACGGUAGCUAAUACCGCAUAAUGUCGCAAGACCAAAGAGGGGGACCUUCGGGCCUCUUGCCAUCGGAUGUGCCCAGAUGGGAUUAGCUUGUUGGUGGGGUAACGGCUCACCAAGGCGACGAUCCCUAGCUGGUCUGAGAGGAUGACCAGCCACACUGGAACUGAGACACGGUCCAGACUCCUACGGGAGGCAGCAGUGGGGAAUAUUGCACAAUGGGCGCAAGCCUGAUGCAGCCAUGC
RNAcentral lists this ribosomal RNA (310 nucleotides) under Escherichia coli. Its description in RNAcentral is "bacterial SSU rRNA". It matches the Rfam family "Bacterial small subunit ribosomal RNA", at positions 84 to 397 of the family's 1533-position model. The record is from RNAcentral. Lineage: Bacteria; Pseudomonadati; Pseudomonadota; Gammaproteobacteria; Enterobacterales; Enterobacteriaceae.